This 207-nucleotide ribosomal RNA is filed under the name uncultured bacterium. RNAcentral describes it as "partial 16S ribosomal RNA". It matches the Rfam family "Bacterial small subunit ribosomal RNA", at positions 568 to 774 of the family's 1533-position model. The record is from RNAcentral.
CGUGUAGGCGGCCUAUUAAGUCGGAAGUGAAAGCCCUCGGCUCAACCGAGGAACUGCUUUCGAAACUGGCAGGCUUGAGUGCGGGAGGGGAGAGCAGAAUUCCCGGUGUAGCGGUGAAAUGCGUAGAUAUCGGGAGGAAUACCGGUGGCGAAGGCGGCUCUCUGGACCGUUACUGACGCUGAGACGCGAAAGCGUGGGUAGCAAACA